Molecule: non-coding RNA, 98 nt
Organism: Mycena alexandri
Lineage: Eukaryota; Fungi; Basidiomycota; Agaricomycetes; Agaricales; Mycenaceae
Source: the annotation of a GenBank genome assembly
GGCUUGGUAGCACACGGUGUGCAUCUACUGUACUUUCGUUUUCCAGUUUUUCAAAAAAUGCGAUGUAGACGACGCUCGUUCGACUCGGGCCCAAGCCA